RNAcentral lists this long non-coding RNA (1326 nucleotides) under Marmota monax (woodchuck). Lineage: Eukaryota; Metazoa; Chordata; Mammalia; Rodentia; Sciuridae. The record is from RNAcentral.
UUAGGCAAAAGCACCAAAGGAGGCUGCCAAUCCUGAAUGGACCAAGCCAGCUUUCACACCUGCAAGCCCCAUUGCUCAGGUGCCUUAGAUAGGGCCAACACCUGCCCCCAUGGUAGCUGCUACUGGGAGUCAGACUUGGUUGCUAGGGUGGUCCUGUCUGGGCUCUGGUACCCACUUACCUGAUUAUUCCUGAGGCCUGUAGCACUCCCUGUUGUUUGGGGGUUGGGGGCUGGGAAGGAUGAGGUCCUGACUUGGGGACCUUAAGGAUGAGAAACUUAACAGAACUGGGGUAGGGAGUGGAGGGAAAAUGCCACUCUUGAACUCCCAGGCAGACUUUACCUCCUGAGUGCAGCCAUAGCAGGGUGCUGCCUGGGGAGCUAUGGAAGCCAGUUUUGUUUAGAGACAUGUGGUAGAACACAAUCCAUGGAGGUGGGGUGAGUUUUGGACAUCUUCAUUACAUCAUCGAAAGAGGGCCCACAUAUGCUUAGCUUACGCCCACCUGCCACUUCCCUGUGACAGCCUUUGGGCUUUGGAGGGCUUAAAGAGGGAAAAGAGGACAAUGGGACUGAAUUGGUGGUCACUGGGUCCUUUGUUCUUCUGUAUAACCCUUUGGAGAUCACCCAGGCUAACUCCCCACCCCAGAAUCUGAUUACCAGGUUUCCUAGGAGCCCUGGAGGCGGAGAGGCUGUAUAUCUAGAAUUUACUGCCAUCCAUGUCAUACUCAAUAACCUGUCUGGGUACCUGCCCACCUUAGCCUGAGGCAUAUGCAUGCAGGAGGCCCUAAUCCUGACCCAGGCAGAGCACAGUGGCUGUAAGGAAUGUCCCUAAUAAAGGACACUGAGGUCUGCUGAAGGCUGGCCAGGUUCUGGCUGUGGAAUCUUCCUGUGGGGCCUAAGUCCUGCCUGAUGGAGAUUUUCCCCAAGUCCCAGGACCCAAGGUCAGGAUGGGAGGGACAGGGAUGCAGGAAUGUAGGUCCCUGGGGAGGGUAGGGAUUUGGAAGUACUCACCUAAGGGAGGUAAAAGGUCGCUUUAUCAUGGAUGCCUUUAUCGCUGAGGGCCAAGGCUAAGGCUGAAGUUGGACUAGCACCUGGAGUCAUCUGGCCUCAGUUCUUGGGGGUCCCUGCUGCUUUUCAAUGUCCAGGGCAGCGGUGUUCAUGGGCAGGUGGGCUCCAAAGGGGUAGACUGGGAAGGCAUGGCUCAUGAAGCCUGAUUAUCUGAGGUGGAUCACAUGUACCUGAUUGUUCUCAAGGUCCAGAGAAAGAUGAUAUGACUGUUGGAGUAAAGCUUGCCAAAACCAGCAGCUUCCUGUGUGGUCCUUACAAGAAG